RNAcentral lists this ribosomal RNA (232 nucleotides) under uncultured bacterium. RNAcentral's name for it is "partial 16S ribosomal RNA". It matches the Rfam family "Bacterial small subunit ribosomal RNA", at positions 118 to 347 of the family's 1533-position model. The record is from RNAcentral.
UGGGCAACCUGCCCCUAGCUCUGGGAUAACUGCGGGAAACUGUAGCUAAUACCUGAUGUGACACGAGACUGCAUGGUCUUCGUGUGGAAAGAUUUAUCGGCUAGGGAUGGGCCCGCGGUCUAUCAGCUUGUUGGUGAGGUAAUGGCUUACCAAGGCGACGACGGGUAGCCGGCCUGAGAGGGUGACCGGCCACACUGGGACUGAGACACGGCCCAGACUCCUACGGGAGCAG